UCAAAGAUUAAGCCAUGCAUGUCUCAGUGCAAGCCGAAUUAAGGUGAAACCGCGAAUGGCUCAUUAAAUCAGUUAUGGUUCCUUAGAUGGUGGACAGUUACUUGGAUAACUGUGGUAAUUCUAGAGCUAAUACAUGAAACUCGGUCCCGACCGGAAGCGGAAGGGACGCUUUUAUUAGAUCAAAACCAAUCGGUCCUAGCGGCCGUUUGCCUUGGUGACUCUGAAUAAAUUGUUGCAGAUCGCACGGUCUCUGUACCGGCGACGCAUCUUUCAAAUGUCUGCCUUAUCAACUGUCGAUGGUAGGUUCUGCGCCUACCAUGGUUGUAACGGGUAACGGGGAAUCAGGGUUCGAUUCCGGAGAGGGAGCCUGAGAAACGGCUACCACAUCCAAGGAAGGCAGCAGGCGCGCAAAUUACCCACUCCCGGCACGGGGAGGUAGUGACGAAAAAUAACGAUACGGGACUCAUCCGAGGCCCCGUAAUCGGAAUGAGCACACUUUAAAUCCUUUAACGAGUAUCCAUUGGAGGGCAAGUCUGGUGCCAGCAGCCGCGGUAAUUCCAGCUCCAAUAGCGUAUAUUAAAGUUGUUGCGGUUAAAAAGCUCGUAGUCGGACUUGUGUCCCACGCUGCCGGUUCACCGCCCGUCGGUGUCUAACUGGCAUGCACGUGCGGACGUCCUGCCGGUGGCCCAAGCGGGCGCAUGGGGUCGGCAACGGCUCCUGUGUCUCCGGGAGGGCCUACUCAUACCCGUCGCGGUGCUCUUAACCGAGUGUCUCGAUGGGCCGGCACGUUUACUUUGAACAAAUUAGAGUGCUUAAAGCAGGCAGCAUCCGCCUGAAUACCGAGUGCAUGGAAUAAUGGAAUAGGACCUCGGUUCUAUUUUGUUGGUUUUCGGAAUCCCCGAGGUAAUGAUCAAUAGGGACAGACGGGGGCAUUCGUAUUGCGACGUUAGAGGUGAAAUUCUUGGAUCGUCGCAAGACGGACCGAAGCGAAAGCAUUUGCCAAGAAUGUUUUCUCUGAUCAAGAACGAAAGUUAGAGGUUCGAAGGCGAUCAGAUACCGCCCUAGUUCUAACCAUAAACGAUGCCAGCCAGCAAUCCGCCGAAGUUCCUCCGAUGACUCGGCGGGCGGCUUCCGGGAAACCAAAGCUUUUGGGUUCCGGGGGAAGUAUGGUUGCAAAGCUGAAACUUAAAGGAAUUGACGGAAGGGCACCACCAGG
Molecule: ribosomal RNA, 1216 nt
Filed under: Ergaula nepalensis
Lineage: Eukaryota; Metazoa; Arthropoda; Insecta; Blattodea; Corydiidae
Description: SSU rRNA
Rfam family: Eukaryotic small subunit ribosomal RNA
Source: RNAcentral